GCUGUCCGUUAUUAUGGUGUUUAUUAUGGUUUAGUUAUUUUAAUUUUAUUUUUUGAUGUUAAAAAUACACGAUGGAUACUUAAAUAUUGAUGUUUACCUUUUUUAUUUUGAUAUUUUAUGGUGUAGAUUAACCUAAGUUAAUAUAACAAUCAAAACAGUAGGGCAUGGAAUGGCAGAUCAACAUUGUUAAUUUUCGGAUAAACUUUCUGGAUUUUGCCAAGUGAAGAACUCCAAUGAUAUACAUGUAGGGGCAUGUGUCCAAAGCUGAUCCACAUCAUAACAUUCUGAUUGGGAAUAAUGACAUAGUACCAAAAGAUGUGCUUAUAUUGUAAUUAGCAGAUCUUCACAAAUGAACCUGGCAGAUCCUGGUGCAACCUUACCUUACCAUGUUUACAUCUAACCGUCAGUUUGAGCUGUGUGUGGGUGGUAACACGGACUAUAUACAUGUAUUGCCCAGUAAUUGUCUUGUGAUGGACCUUUUUAACAUAUCAAGUAUUUAAUUGAAGACUUAACAGAUCAGCAAAGGCAAUGGCAUUAACUCCACAAUCAACAUUAUUGUUUUGUUUCAUCACGGUCGGAAUUGUGAUAUCUAUGUAUUCUUUGUCUUUACCAUAUAAUACUGAAAGUUGUAUUUGAAGGCCAUGUGGUAUUAAUCUGUCUCUAGAACGAUCGUUACCUAAGCUGUCCAAUAGAAAUAUUUGAUUAUCAUGCAAAAUCGACACGACCCAAUGGUAAUUAUGGGUGUAAUGAAUUUGGCAAGCAGGCUGUGUUACUGGUUCCAUUAAUUCUUCCACAUUCCAGUGACUCUUAUCUUCGGACAACAUAGGUACGGAUUCAGAUAACUGAAGCCCAUUUAUAACACCCUUUACCUUGCGUCUCAAUAAGAUAUGAGCGGCUUCUAUGUGACUUGAAUAUAAUUGAUCAUUUGGUAUUAAAGCGUAAUUAUUUUAGUGCAGUCAGACGCAGUAGCCGCCGAAACGUACACCUACUACGUUUGUUAAGUGAAAUGUCUGUGCGCCGUUAUUUUGCUAGAUUUCGUAUAACGUCUUCCUUAUGAACUGCAUAAUGUUACAACUUUGAUAAAAACACUCAAUUCACCAUUAUUGUUGAGUUAAUCAUAACGCUAAAACGGACUAACUAAUGUACAUGGAGAAAGUAAAUAAAAAACAUUUUCUGGAGCAAGAAGUUGAAAAACAAAACAUUACACAUCAAUUUUGACUUCCAUUGCAACCAAAUUUAGGUUCGAUGAUGACAGCCAGAUAUUGCUCUCUAUUAAUUGAAUGUUUGAAAAAUUCGUUAGACCAGUAUCAUGCGAAAAUGGAUCUUAUUUAAUUGUGGUUCCCUCAUUGAACUUAUGUUGUCUGUCGACUUUUAGAAUAAUGUGUAAGAAAUAAAUGUAUUGCUUCAGAUUCACGAGCUUUUUUUUAAGAAAUGAAAUAUGCAAAUGUAUGUUAUAUAUAUUUUUUCUGUUUCUUAAACGUAUCUUAUUUAUUUUGGACUACGUGCUUAUUUUUUUUAAGAAAUGAGAGAUUCAAAUGUGUCUUAUUUAUCUUUUAUCCAUGUCUUAAAUGUGUUUUAUUUAUAUAAGACUACAUUCUAUACUGCCAGUGUCAUGCGAAAAUGGAUCUUAUUUCUUAAUAUCCACCUUCACACUUUAUUCUUUAUUAGCGCCGUCUUUCAUUAGGCUAUCACUAUUUAAAGAACAGAUUACUGUGAAAUUAAUUAAAAUGUGCAACGGUGAUAUUGAUCCAUUCACGUUGUUAAUUUAAAAUGUACACAACAGUUUAGCAAUAAAUGAAAUCAGUUAU
Molecule: long non-coding RNA, 1808 nt
Organism: Dreissena polymorpha
Lineage: Eukaryota; Metazoa; Mollusca; Bivalvia; Myida; Dreissenidae
Exons: 3
Source: RefSeq, a predicted model, not a curated record